This 72-nucleotide transfer RNA is filed under the name Martensiomyces pterosporus. RNAcentral describes it as "tRNA-Gln". It matches the Rfam family "tRNA". From Rfam's summary of the family: Transfer RNA (tRNA) molecules are approximately 80 nucleotides in length. Their secondary structure includes four short double-helical elements and three loops (D, anti-codon, and T loops). Further hydrogen bonds mediate the characteristic L-shaped molecular structure. tRNAs have two regions of fundamental functional importance: the anti-codon, which is responsible for specific mRNA codon recognition, and the 3' end, to which the tRNAs corresponding amino acid is attached (by aminoacyl-tRNA synthetases). tRNAs cope with the degeneracy of the genetic code in two manners: having more than one tRNA (with a specific anti-codon) for a particular amino acid; and 'wobble' base-pairing, i.e. permitting non-standard base-pairing at the 3rd anti-codon position. The record is from RNAcentral. Lineage: Eukaryota; Fungi; Kickxellomycota; Kickxellomycetes; Kickxellales; Kickxellaceae.
GGCUUUAUAGUGUAGUGGUUAUCACCGUGGGUUUUGAUCCCAUUAACCCGAGUUCGAAUCUCGGUAAAGCCU